RNAcentral lists this ribosomal RNA (456 nucleotides) under uncultured bacterium. Its description in RNAcentral is "bacterial SSU rRNA". It matches the Rfam family "Bacterial small subunit ribosomal RNA", at positions 340 to 786 of the family's 1533-position model. The record is from RNAcentral.
UACGGAAGGCAGCAGUGGGGAAUAUUGCACAAUGGGCGAAAGCCUGAUGCAGCUAUGCCGCGUGUAUGAAGAAGGCCUUAGGGUUGUAAAGUACUUUCAUCGGGGAGGAAAAAACAAAACUAAUAAUUUUAUUUCUUGACGUUACCCGAAAAAGAAGCACCGGCUAACUCCGUGCCAGCAGCCGCGGUAAUACGGAGGGUGCUAGCGUUAAUCAGAAUUACUGGGCGUAAAGAGCACGUAGGUGGUUUUUUAAGUCAGAUGUGAAAUCCCUGGGCUUAACCUAGGAACUGCAUUUUGAAACUGAAAUACUAGAGUAUUGUAGAGGGAGGUAGAAUUCUAGGUGUAGCGGUGAAAUGCGUAGAUAUCUGGAGGAAUACCUGUGGCGAAAGCGGCCUCCUAAACGAAUACUGACACUGAGGGUGCGAAAGCGUGGGGAGCAAACAGGGAUUAGAUACC